Molecule: long non-coding RNA, 550 nt
Organism: Daphnia carinata
Lineage: Eukaryota; Metazoa; Arthropoda; Branchiopoda; Diplostraca; Daphniidae
Exons: 4
Source: RefSeq, a predicted model, not a curated record
UCGAGAGGUCUGCUACCUGUGGUCGUAUGUGUCAUAACGACCACGAGGCUGGCAAUUUUUUGCCAGUUGAAUUCCUUAAUAGUUGCAAAUUUCUCGAAAAAAGACAUAUCUGGACGUAUGUAGAAUGCAACUUGUUGAACCGGACUUGAAAUAGCUUAGCUUGAUAUCGCUGGUUCUUACCAUUUCACCCGUCAAUCAGGUGACGUAUGACUAUGUUCCUAUUCGAAAAAUCGUUGAACCUGGACCAUCAUGAUAAGAAUGUGAAAUUGAAAUUCAAGAUAAAUUUUUUGCAAAUCAUUAGAAAAUUUUGUCAGAUUGCUCCUUCAAUCAACUGGUGAACCAUAUUAUCACCAUUUGAACAAAUGUUUGAUUCUUCAAAGACAACAACCAACCUACAUCAUAAGAUCUUGACGUUGAAAUAUUUUUCUCCAAUUCUGGUUUCUAUUUUGGCAAAGUAACAUAUCUGCAGAGUUGUAUUAGUUAUUGAUGAUUUUCAUGAGCUAUAGUGAUACUGACAAAAGUUUGUGCAUUUGACAUUUGCAAAGGUCGC